Molecule: long non-coding RNA, 866 nt
Filed under: Pogona vitticeps (central bearded dragon)
Lineage: Eukaryota; Metazoa; Chordata; Lepidosauria; Squamata; Agamidae
Description: lncRNA (ENSPVIG00000017745.1)
Source: RNAcentral
AAAUAAUAAAUCUCGGAUAGGCCAGAAAAGGUCCUGCUCUCCUCCAGUUAGCCAUGGCCUGGCACUCAAGUGGGUUCACACUCUCCACACGUAUACUAAAGUCCAUCUCAGUUCAGGUACAGCAAAUAAAUUAAUUUAUCUGGUUAUUCUCAACAAGAUCCAUUCAGUGAUGAGUAGAGAUAGUGUUCCUCCACCUGGGAGGUUUGAAGAACAGUCUUUCUGUGCUACUCGAAGGCUUACAUUCUUUUAUAUCCUCCCCCACCCCUUUGCUUUCACAUCGCAGCAAAAGGCACGCCUCUCAAUGCUUCUUCGGCAUCGCGAGGGUUAAUCCCACCGAACAGGACCUUAGCCCCACCCCUCCUUCGUGUCACCCUCCGGAAACAGCCGAUUGGCGGAGCCGGGUGAGCAUCGUCGACCUCCCAUUGGCUGGGGCGGGCGGACACGUCAAUCAUGUGGGUAGCGCUUGUUAGCUGGCUCGCUGGGGGAAGGAAAACUUCCUUGUUAUUGUGACAACCCCCCCGCCCGCGGGAAACCUGCGCCAGAGGUGCGGCCAACAUCUGGGAAAGUCUCCCCCCCCCCGGGGCGGUGGUUAGGAGAACCUCGCAGCAAGCCGGAGCCCGGUGAGCGGUGCCUUUCAUUUCGGGGUAUUGUAAGCUGGGAGGAUGCUCCCUCUGCCUUUGCAAGGGCUUAUUACGCGGAGGCGAGAGAAAGGGAUGAUGAUGAUGAUGAUGACGACUCCUGGGCUCCGCUUUUCGGGGGGUCGUGGGGACGGACUUCAGCACAUUUAGGUGGAUUGUUAAACCAGCUGUGGUUCAGUCCUGUGAAGCUUUCACGGAAACGCUUGUGGUUUGAAAGGGGAAAAUAUG